AUAGUUGUAAUUAUGAUCAGUGGUGGGAUUUUUGGUCUUGAUCCAUAAUUAUUAUUGCACCAUAGACUAAAUAUACCCAUCUAAAUGUUGGCUUUGAGGGGAAAGUUUAUAACAUAUGAUCAGAUGCCAGCGACUGUACAUUUGAGCACCUCAACGUCCACCAAUCUGUCCUUGAUUUCACACCAUAAGUGGCUGAGUGCCUCAGCUUAGGGUCAUAGCACUGCUCAAAAUUUGAGGAUGAUGGUCUCUUGGAUCAGCAGCCUAAUAGUUGUAAUUAUGAUCAGUGGUGGGAUUUUUGGUCUUGAUCCAUAAUUAUUAUUGCACCAUAGACUAAAUAUACCCAUCUAAAUGUUGGCUUUGAGGGGAAAGUUUAUAACAUAUGAUCAGAUGCCAGCGACUGUACAUUUGAGCACCUCAACGUCCACCAAUCUGUCCUUGAUUUCACACCAUAAGUGGCUGAGUGCCUCAGCUUAGGGUCAUAGCACUGCUCAAAAUUGAAUGCUUUUACCAUAAUAGAGGCUUUGCUAUCAGAAGCCCUUAUCCACCGGAAAUUUGUAGUCUCUCUCUCAGUCUUGUACUAGUAUUAGCAGUGGAUCUCAAUAGUGGUUUUAGUAGAUUGUUUGUCUUGAAAUAUGCUAGUAAUAAUAAAUAAUUAUGGCACCCUAAUAAAUGAGAAGAAAGUCCAGCAGCUCGUAUUCAAAGAUAACAAAGAAAGUCAGCAAGCAAUAAAAAGAUUUUCAACUGAAAUCUGCUAUUAUUAGUGAUGUGUUAUUGCAAUUAGUCACCAACUCUUAAUUUUUGUCAGUUCCAACCUGCAUAAUAAAGUUGGUACUGCAGCAUACAUGAAGCCUGGAGAAAUCCUGCAGUAUAAUUUGUGAGGAUGUUGCUAAUUAUUACCAGUAUAGAUUUGGGGGCUAAAUAGCUAAGUGGCUUACGUUUCAAUUAGUAUUGUUUAUGUAGCUAAGUUUGGGUUAUCUCAGGACUCUUCUUCCAUAUAAUACCGUACCAGUAGAAAGAGCAGUUUAAGGGUGUGUUUGGUACGAUAUUUUUUAAUUUUUUCAUGUUUGGUUGGCUUAAAUAUUUUGAAAAAUAUUUUUUUUAUGAACUUAUAUUCCUUCAAUUGGAGGAAAAUAUUUCCCUUAUUAAGAGAAAGGAAAAUAUUUUUCAAAACUCUUUCUCAACCUUUUCCACCCUCACCAACCCACCCCAUCUCAGUCGCGUAGGGCGACCGGGCCAGGCCGAGUCAGAAAGGCUUUGAUGACUCAAGGUUCGCUAUAUGACCUUGAGGAGCCUGUCGGGCUGAAGUGAAGAACGGUCGAGGCAGAAAAGUACCCCUCUUGCCGCUCGGCAUGAAUGAAGUUG
Molecule: long non-coding RNA, 1362 nt
Filed under: Nicotiana benthamiana
Lineage: Eukaryota; Viridiplantae; Streptophyta; Magnoliopsida; Solanales; Solanaceae
Description: long non-coding RNA (NBEN_LNC027562)
Source: RNAcentral